AUAUGUUGAAAUCCUAACUCCCAAAGUGAUAGUCAUUGGAGUUGGGGCCUUCAGGAGGUGAUUCGGUCAUCAGAGUGAAGCCCCCAGGAAUGAGAUCAAUGCCCUUAUGAAAGAGGCACGAGGCCGGUCAUUCACUCCUUCCACCAAGUGAGGUUACAGCGAAAAAAUGGCUGUCCGUGCGGUGGGCCCUCGCCAGACUGGAUCUCUCACCAUCUUGAUGUUGGACUUCCCAGCUCCCAGAACUAUCUUUCCUGAGCACACAGAAGAUCAAGACCACACUCACUGACUUCUCAUAGUCAAGCAAUUUUGGCCAAUUAAAUGUCAGUUGGAAACUCCUGUGUCAGCUUCUCUGUGGCUGUGAGAAGUCCCUGUGUGACAUCCCAACUCCCCCCCCACCUGCGUUGGCAACCAAGAAAGCCUUGUGUUGGAGGUGGGGCCACAAGUUUAAAGCUAAGUUACCACCUCGAAGGCACAUUCCUGGAGAGCUUCCCAGGCCCACAGUGGCACGUGUAUGAGUGACAGAUCCACUUCUUUAUUACCUUUUUGAAGAACAGGAACCUUUGUCUGGAAAUUCCACAAGUAUGCCUUUUGCAAGAUUAAAAGUGCCACAAAGAACAAAAAUGAUCCCAGGACCAGAUGCCUGUUAGAAGCCAUCAGACACGUUAAGUUUCAUCUCCAUUGACCUGGUGAGACAAAGAGACUAGAAGGGGUAGAGUCAGCUAACUUCUCUCCUCCCAACACUGAUGAGAUUUUGGUUAAUUCUCUUCCCUUGCUCAAUGACCGUAAAGAAAAUUUGGGAAUGUGUAUUUCAGGGAAAACGAAAAUGAUCCCAAUAAAGAUCGGAGAUGCAGGAAGGAAGGAAAACAUAGAAAUUGAGCCAGUUGGAGUGUGAGGCUUCAGAAUCGCCUUCCAACUCUCUGUGCACUGCACCAGCUGCUUCCCAUAGACUCCUGGGAAAAUAUAGAGCAGAAGGAAGAAGAGCCACUACCCAUAACAUCAGUGGCUGCUAACUAAGGAGUGUUUUGACAUGCUGGUACAGCCUAUCCUCAGCUUUCCAGAAGGUGGAAUCUUGUGAUAGUGGAAAGAAGUAGAAGAGAUGAAGUACCUAUGACUCCAGGAUUUGCCAGUGAAAGAAGUCAACAAUAUUUUAACUUUGAUCUUAACCAAAAGGCCAAGAAGUGAUGCUAAUAUUUUCAUAUACUACGACAGUUGCAGACACACGUCUAUCAUAGCUGGGUAGUAAUCCAGGCAACUCUGCCACAAGUCAUGGGCUCAGCCACCAGUCCACGAAGUCUCCAGUCACACAUAUUGCUUCGGACUAUUCUCUAUCCCCAGUUGUCAAUUAACUAAAAUAUUAAAUGAGCCACUGAAAGCUAACUACACUGGAACACUCUCAUUUCUGCAAAGAAAAAUAUCAUAUCCCAGGAUGAAAAGGAGGAGGAAGAGGAAAGGCUAACUUAACAAGAAGCUCUUUGACAUUCUUGAAUUAGACACCCAACGUAGUCCACACAGUACGGAGGAUGACUUCAGAAGUGCAAUUCUGAUAUGGACUUUGUCUCCCUAAGGCUUUCAAUUCCUCAUAUUUAGGAUAAAACAGAAGUUUAUCUAAAGCAAAGGGAGAGGGUCACCAGAAGAGGGAAGGAGGAACAGCAGAAGGAGAGGUCCACACAUGAAAAUACUUGGAAGCGCUCCAGGGCCUAUCAGAUGCAGGUCUUGGCGGGAAUUACCAAACAUACUUUAGACAGGCUGCUGUGUUGCUGAGUGUGGACUGGCCUCAGGGCCUACUGAUCAAAGCAAAAGGAAGCAGUGAAAAAAACAUCACCAUGUCUUCUUAGAGUCUAAUCUGGGGGCAAGAGGCCAGCACAGUUGGUGCUGAUUUUCUUGGGCGGAUAGAGGAAAGGUGUAGGCGUGGCCAACAUUUGAGCAGCAUGUGGUUCCUCCCACACGCCAUGCUGUUUCCAGCCUCCUUGCAUUUUACUCAUGCCAUCCUCCUGGUCACUUCUUUGAGAUAUUAAGUGCAUUCUUUAGGACUCAGACUCAGCUCAAGGGUCAGUGCAUCCAUGAAGCCUUACCUGGAUCCCAGAGGGAGCUCUGUGCUCCUCCUUUGUCUCCUAUAGGACCCAGUACAUGCGUCCGGUAUUAUCCAUACACACUGAAACGAUCUAGCAUGUGUCUUCCCAUAGGAUUUCAAAUUCUUAGAAUAUACGAGUGAUGCCUUCUUCCUACUUAUAUUUCCAGUGUUAACAGUGCCUGUCAAUUGACUUGAAGAUAACUAAAAGUCUGGUAGUUAGGGGCUGCUUCCCACCUCCAAAUACUUCCCUGGAAGUCAUUGUAUGGGCACUGACAUUGGUAGGUCUCCACUGGCUUGUAGAUGCUUCUGAUUAUAAGGUAGUCUCAGAUGCCUUCAGAAAGUUCUAAGACUGUAUAAAACAUUUCCUUCACAACCAAUAACUGUGUAUUAUUGUUCGUGUAAUUCCAGAAGUUAUCCUUUUGAUAGAGAGCAAUUACUUUAUUGAUUGAGAGUUAGCUAAUUAUGUAAUAAAGGUAAAGAUUUGCAUAGAGAAGUGU
Long non-coding RNA from Pan troglodytes (chimpanzee), 2568 nucleotides. RefSeq lists it as uncharacterized. The record is from RefSeq and is a predicted model, not a curated record. Lineage: Eukaryota; Metazoa; Chordata; Mammalia; Primates; Hominidae. The transcript has 11 exons.